RNAcentral lists this transfer RNA (87 nucleotides) under Microlunatus soli. It matches the Rfam family "tRNA". From Rfam's summary of the family: Transfer RNA (tRNA) molecules are approximately 80 nucleotides in length. The record is from Rfam by way of RNAcentral. Lineage: Bacteria; Bacillati; Actinomycetota; Actinomycetes; Propionibacteriales; Propionibacteriaceae.
GGUGGCGUGUCUGAGCGGCCUAAAGAGCUCGCCUCGAAAGCGAGUGAGGGGUCAAACCCUCCGCGGGUUCAAAUCCCGCCGCCACCG